GCUUUGUAGCUCAGCUGUAAAACAUUUGUCUCCCACGCACAAGGUCCCAAGUUCAAUCCUUGGCAACUCCA
Podarcis lilfordi (Lilford's wall lizard) is the source of this 71-nucleotide non-coding RNA. NCBI's taxonomy places the organism in Eukaryota, Metazoa, Chordata, Lepidosauria, Squamata, Lacertidae. The record is from the annotation of a GenBank genome assembly.